AUCAUGAAAUCCUCAAUAUUCUUUAUUGCACUAUUUGGUAAAAUAUAUACUGGGUAUUUUAUCAGUCGAAAUAUUUGCAGGCUUAUAAUGUGCACUGUGGUGCACUGAACACUGAGUGCGCACUCACACCAGUUCUGUCAGUGAAAAACUGAAAAACGCAAUUGGCUGCGUUCGGAAACGUCACCCGGAUAUACACGGGUAUACUCCCUUCUCCUUCUAACUCGCUGAGAUAGAAAGAGAAGGGAGUAUACUCGUGUACACUCGGGUAAUGUUUUCGAACGCAGCCAUGAUGGCAUGCAGCCGAUGCGUGGCGCGCGUUGCGGCCGUAUGAUAUUGGGAAUGGCUAAACUGCGAUACGCUAUCUGGUGGCAAAAACAGAACUAAAAAGAGUAGGUCGCCGGCUGCCACAUAAAUAAAUCGAAUUGCGGCAUGAAGGCGUCGAAUUGGUAAAAUUGCAUAUUUCACUUAUGGGCAGUCUCAUUUUAAUUACUGAAAUUUAUAAAUAAGCACAUACGUCGUAUUGUAUUGUGACAAGUGACCUACUCUCUCCGGCCAUUUUGCCUUGGUGACGUCACGACCGCCAAUCCCAAUAUAUGAUGGCUGCGGCGGCUGCGCGCUUGUGUUGUGGUAGUGUUAUAUAUAUCUCGAUUGUUAGCAUGAAAUUAACCUAAUUUCUGUCAACUUUAUAUACUUAACGUUUAAUAUCGAGGUAGAGCGUUACUUUUUUCUGCCAGAUUCUUUUGUUUCGUGCAAAAACGCGUCGAUUGAGCAUAAUAAUUGAUCAUCGAUACUUGAGCAUCAUCGAUAUUUGAGAGUAUGUAAAUGGGUUGAUCUUGACAACGCCACGCCUACUGAUGUGGGAAUAACACUUCCCACAUCUCUCACUGCGUAAGCAGCGUUCUCUGCGCACGCAGCAUCCGGGUCAGCGUCCGCCUUCUAGAGGGAGGAGCAUUAUCACCCAUUGCUGGACCAUUUUGCUGUAGUCACACACUCAGUGAACAAAUAAAGAACCGUUUUUGGCAUUUUUAGCGCCGAAGAAGCUCAAAUUUAGGGACUUGAACAAGAAAAUACAUCUGCAAAAUGGAGCAGGGCUCCUCCGCCACCUUUGAAUUUACAAGUUGACACAUUCACAUUCCAGCAAAUUGAAAUUGACCAUUAUAGGUUGACAGACCGAAUUAUGUUUCAAGCGGAUUGCCAUCUUCAUCAGUAGUCGGAUAAAUAGCAGAGUGGGGAAUCUGAUGUGAUCAAGGAUCAUGUGCUGCAGAGUAAACAAAUGGAUCGUCGUGAGAACAAAUCGAUCAAUUUUGAAGGAAGAGUUCCGUUCGAUUUAUUACUGGUAUUAGUCCGAGAUUAUAAACUGAGAUCUUACACUCUAAACGCGGUAUCAUAUCAUUUCCUUCAAGAAUAAAAAGAAGAUGUCCAGCAUAAGGAUAUUACGGGAUUACAAAACGGAAAUACACAGACUCGCGGUUUCUCAACUUCUACGUAAGACCAGGGAAAAGGAUUACUUGCUGCCAACGCAUCAGGGCCACGGUACUGAUGAGCAAUUCGAAGGAACGAGAGUUGAAAGUGUCGGCAAAUUCCGUGUAUGGUUUCACGGGUGCGCAGAUGGGAAAAUUACCUUGGAAAUAUCUGCUGGAUUUGAAUUCGGUUCUCUGGCUCACUAGACCAGCGCACAUCUCUCUGCGCCACGAUCGCCACUGGAAAUAUCUGCUAGCGUUACCGCUUAUGGACGCACUAUGAUAGGACUAACAAAGCAAGCAGUGGAGGAUCGCUUUCGAGUAGAAAAACGAUGCGACAGUCAUAUACGGCGGCACGGAUUCCGUGAUGAUAAAGUUUGGCGUAAAAUCUAUAGAAGAUGCAAUAUAUGGAACUCGGUAGAGAGGCGGCCGAUUACGUGACGUCUAAAUUCAUCAAGCCAUAAAUCUGGAGUUUGAGAAAGUGUAUUUUCCGUAUCUCUUAGGCCCGGUUUCACCAAUGUGAUUUAAUCGACCGAUUAGAUUAAAUCACGUUGGUGAAACCGGGCCUUAAUCAACAAGAAACGUUAUGCUGGCCUGUAUUUUACGAAAGUAAAUACAGAAUACUGAAGUGACUGAAGUAUUCGAUACGCACGAAUUUACUUUUAAUCUAACAAUUAAGGUACUUAAUUACUUCACGAGUUGACUGCGCUCGGUCAACCACGAUUUUCUAAUUUUAUAAUUGCUCGAAACACUGUGUAACAGAUCGACUUAUAUUUUUUCAUUUAAAUAAAAAUAAUUUUAUUUUUCGG
Molecule: long non-coding RNA, 2269 nt
Organism: Temnothorax curvispinosus
Lineage: Eukaryota; Metazoa; Arthropoda; Insecta; Hymenoptera; Formicidae
Exons: 8
Source: RefSeq, a predicted model, not a curated record